UGGCGGACGGGUGAGUAACGCGUGGAAAACCUGCCGUAUACUGGGGGAUAACACUUAGAAAUAGGUGCUAAUACCGCAUAAGCGCACAGCUUCGCAUGAAGCGGUGUGAAAAACUCUGGUGGUAUACGAUGGUUCCGCGUCUGAUUAGCUAGUUGGUGGGGUAAUGGCCUACCAAGGCAACGAUCAGUAGCCGGCCUGAGAGGGUGAACGGCCACAUUGGUACUGAGACACGGACCAAACUCCUACGGAAGGCAGCAG
Molecule: ribosomal RNA, 258 nt
Filed under: uncultured bacterium
Lineage: Bacteria
Description: partial 16S ribosomal RNA
Rfam family: Bacterial small subunit ribosomal RNA
Source: RNAcentral